UACGGAGGAUCCGAGCGUUAUCCGGAUUUAUUGGGUUUAAAGGGUGCGCAGGCGGGAGAUUAAGUCGGCGGUGAAAUUCUGCAGCUCAACUGUAAAAGUGCCUUCGAAACUGGUUUCCUUGAGUGUAGAUGAAGUAGGCGGAAUUUGUGGUGUAGCGGUGAAAUGCAUAGAUAUCACGAGGAACUCCGAUUGCGCAGGCAGCUUACUAAACUACUACUGACGCUCAGGCACGAAGGCGUGGGGAGUCAAACAGGAUUAGAUACCCU
This 266-nucleotide ribosomal RNA is filed under the name uncultured prokaryote. Its description in RNAcentral is "partial 16S ribosomal RNA". It matches the Rfam family "Bacterial small subunit ribosomal RNA", at positions 524 to 788 of the family's 1533-position model. The record is from RNAcentral.